Molecule: ribosomal RNA, 1346 nt
Filed under: Raorchestes luteolus
Lineage: Eukaryota; Metazoa; Chordata; Amphibia; Anura; Rhacophoridae
Description: partial 16S rRNA
Rfam family: Bacterial large subunit ribosomal RNA
Source: RNAcentral
GCCAAACAUCCAGCCUAUAUACACCGCAUAUUAGCAACCAUAAAGAUUAUUAAAAUAAAACAUUUUAUUUUCUAAGUAGAGGUGAUCGAAAAAUAUUUAAGCGCUUAAGAGAAAGUACCGCAAGGGAAACAUGAAAUAAAAGUGAAAUAAUUUUUAAGCCCAUAAUAGCAGAGACUAUAACUCGUACCUUUUGCAUAAUGGUCUAGCCAGUCUAAUCAAGCAAAACAAAAAUUUCAGUUUGCCUCCCCGAAACUAAGCGAGCUACUUCAAAACAGCCCUAAGAGCUAACCCAUCCCUGUAGCAAUAGGGUGGGAAGAUUUUCAAGUAGAGGUGAUAAGCCUAUCGAGCUUAGAGAUAGCUGGUUAUUCAGAAAAAGAAUCUUAGUUCUGCCUUAAAAUUUACUAUGUCUCACAACAAAUUUAAGAGUUAAUCAAUUAAGGUACAGCCUAAUUGAAAAAGGAUACAACCUAGAAUACAGGGUAAGCACUUAAUACUUCAACAAGUGGGCCUAAAAGCAGCCACCUUUAAAAAAGCGUUAAAGCUUAAUUUAUUAUACUAACAAAUACCAUAAACAACUACAAACCCAUCUACACUACUGAAUGACUCUAUAAUGAUAUAGAACUCAUCAUGCUAGAACUAGUAACAAGAAUAUAUUCUCCAAAAUGUAAGCCUAAACCAAAAUGGAAUCUACACUGGUAAUCAACGAACAUGAACUAAUAACAAGAACAUACCUAGAAAAUUCUGUUAAUAUAUUCGUCAACCUUACACUAGAACAUUCCUGGAAAGAUUAAAAGAGAGAGAAGGAACUCGGCAAACUUUAACCCCGCCUGUUUACCAAAAACAUCGCUUCUUGAUAAUAAUAAGAAGUCCUGCCUGCCCAGUGACAAAUUAAACGGCCGCGGUACCCUAACCGUGCAAAGGUAGCAUAAUCACUUGUUCCUUAAAUAGGGACUCGUAUCAACGGCAUCACGAGGGUUAUACUGUCUCCCCUCUCUAAUCAGUGAAACUGAUCCCCCCAUGAAAAAGUGGGGAUAACAUUAUAAGACGAGAAGACCCCAUGGAGCUUUAAACUCAAUAGCAACUCAGCAAAAUUCUUAAGCUACAAAAUAUGCUAAUAGUUUUAGGUUGGGGCGACCACGGAGUAAAAAUUAACCUCCGUAACGAAAAGAUUUAAAUCUUUACCCAAGAGUUACUACUCUAAGAAUUAGAAAACUAAAGGAUUAUGACCCGAUUAUCGAUCAAUGAACCAAGUUACCCUGGGGAUAACAGCGCAAUCUACUUCAAGAGUCCAUAUCGACAAGUAGGCUUACGACCUCGAUGUUGGAUCAGGGUAUCCUAGUGGUGCA